CCUACGGGAGGCAGCAGUGGGGGAUAUUGCACAAUGGGGGGAACCCUGAUGCAGCGACGUCGCGUGGGUGAAGAAGCGCCUCGGCGCGGUAAGCCUCGUUAGUAGGGAAGAAAAUGACGGUACCUGAAGCAGAAGCCACGGCUAACUACGUGACAGCAGCCGCGGUAACACGUCGGGGGCCAGCGUUAUCCGGAUUUAUUGGGGUUAAAGGGUGCGUAGGCGGUCGGAUAAGUUAGUGGUGAAAGCUCGAGGCUCAACUUCGGAAUUGCCUCUGAUACUGUUCGGCUAGAGAGUAGUUGCGGUAGGCGGAAUGUGUGGUGUAGCGGUGAAAUGCUUAGAUAUCACGCAGAACACCGAUUGCGAAGGCAGCUUACCAAGCUACUUCUGACGUUGAGGCACGAAAGCGUGGGGAGCAAACAGGAUUAGAUACCCUGGUAGUC
RNAcentral lists this ribosomal RNA (440 nucleotides) under uncultured bacterium. RNAcentral's name for it is "partial 16S ribosomal RNA". It matches the Rfam family "Bacterial small subunit ribosomal RNA", at positions 338 to 795 of the family's 1533-position model. The record is from RNAcentral.